UGCGUUGUAGAGCAGUUUGGUUAAGCUUAUCAGGCUCAUGCCCUGAAGGACAUAGGUUCAAAUCCUAUCGACGCA
This 75-nucleotide transfer RNA is filed under the name Dictyota dichotoma. RNAcentral's name for it is "tRNA-Met". It matches the Rfam family "tRNA". From Rfam's summary of the family: Transfer RNA (tRNA) molecules are approximately 80 nucleotides in length. The record is from RNAcentral. Lineage: Eukaryota; Phaeophyceae; Dictyotales; Dictyotaceae.